UGCAGGUGGGAAGGGUGAUCAGGCCUUCAGCUGACAGUUUCCUGGAGUCUCCAUGCUUAGUCACACGUUGCAGCUUUUUGCUCCCCGAAAAUGGUGAAGUCCAUCUAUAGUCUAACGACAGUCUCUCCUGCUUUAAUUGGGUCUAUUUGUUGGGCCCUCUGGGAUAUGGAAAAACCACUUGCUCAGCUUCUCCUUGUAAAUUCCUGGCUGGCCACUCAGUAUUCCUUGUCCCUGGCCUCGCAGCCCACCCGGGAAGCCACAGUGACCAGCCACCAGGUGUGCCAUCACGGAGGAAGUCCAGGUUGGAGAGGUGGUCUCCUUCUGUGAGCAGGUCCACCUCUCCCCCCACUGAGGCCCCUUUCUGCCUGUGACAGCCCCACCUCAAGGGCCAUGGCACAGCCAUCAGCUCCAGCUGCCAGCAUGCUACUGCCAUGCCCCGAGUGUCCAUCUGGGCCCCGGUUCAUGACCUGUUGUCUUUCUGUAUCUACUUUCUGCAGCCCCUCACUGAGGAGGCCUCCUGGGUUUGUCCAGUGCCUGCUAUUAAAGCUUUGCUCCAAGUUC
Homo sapiens (human) is the source of this 561-nucleotide long non-coding RNA. Lineage: Eukaryota; Metazoa; Chordata; Mammalia; Primates; Hominidae. The record is from Ensembl.